Long non-coding RNA from Aphis gossypii (cotton aphid), 542 nucleotides. RefSeq lists it as uncharacterized. The transcript is spliced from 3 exons. NCBI's taxonomy places the organism in Eukaryota, Metazoa, Arthropoda, Insecta, Hemiptera, Aphididae. The record is from RefSeq and is a predicted model, not a curated record.
UGCAAAACAAACUUCGGUGUGCGAGUAUAAAUACGGCUGAAGUUUUACAGAUCCAGCACAACGCAAUCAGCACCACACUUGAUCGCUUAAAACGGUCCGCAGUACUCAACAAUUCAAAAAAUAAAAAUCACCACAAACGUCAACAUGUCCGGAAAGCUCGUCAUCUUUUUCUUGGUAGCCGUCGCUCUGGCUUGUAUUGGUUCCGCUGCCGCCCAAUUCAUCUACCCAGCAGCUCCGGUUGUUACUUCCUAUUACCACCCAUACGGAUACACCUACCCCUUGACUUACAACUACAGAUUUGGUGCUUACCCAUACCUUUUGCGCCGUUAAGUCACACUGCCAAUGUUCUUCUCUUUUCCAAUCGAUAUAUCUUACAGAAGAAUACGACUUCAUGCCAAACGAUGUUUACAAUUUUCACAAUAUGUUAACAAAUUUAUUAAUUUGGUUGAAAAAAAAAUGUUGUAUAUUUUUAAAUAUUAAAUCAUUAUAAAUUAUUAUUAUACACGUCAUGAUAAAAUAAAAAAAAAUUCUUAAAAAAAUUA